AUUGAACGCUAGCGGCAUGCCUUACACAUGCAAGUCGAACGAGUGGCGGACGGGUGAGUAAUAUACCGGAACAAGUCCAGUAGCGGGGGAUAAAUACUCGAAAGAGUGGCUAUUACCGCACACUAUUGGAGCGGUCGCUAUUGGAUUAGCUAGUGGGUGGGGUAAAGGCUCACCAAGGCAACGACCCGUAGCUGGUUUGAGAGGACGACCAGCCACACUGGGACGUAGACACGGCCCAGACUCCGACGGGAGGCAGCAGUGGGGAAUUUUGGACAAUGGGGGAAACCCUGAUCCAGCCAUCCCGCGUGUAUGAGAAGGCCUUCGGGUUGUAAAGUACUUUUGGCGGAGAAGCGGUAUCUGCAGAAUAAGCACCGGCUAACUACGUGCCAGCCGCCGCGGUAAUAC
RNAcentral lists this ribosomal RNA (405 nucleotides) under uncultured bacterium. RNAcentral's name for it is "partial 16S ribosomal RNA". It matches the Rfam family "Bacterial small subunit ribosomal RNA", at positions 30 to 526 of the family's 1533-position model. The record is from RNAcentral.